GAUAAUCAUGAACUAUAAUUCCGAUUUUCCAAAUGUUAUGAUGGCACUCUAUGGAUGUUUAUCCACGAUUUAGAGAAGAUCUUUUCUACAUCAAAAAGAAAGUUGUUAGAAAAAUGUUGAAGAAGAUGACUUAAACCAUUCUAAUGAACGGGAUAUAUUGAUACAGAAGUCAACAGGUGUACUAACAGUAUUUAAAAAUAAAGUAGUUAUCUACUAAGCAUUACUCAAGGACUAAAGACAAAAUUAAAAACUAUAACCAUUUAAAAGAUGAAAUAAAAAUGUUUUAACAAUAAUUUGACAAUUCUUAAGUAUCAAAAAAUGUUGACACACUUCACCUAGUUCUCUUCAGAGUUCACAUACAAAACAAAUGCAAUUCUACAGACUACAAAUCAACUGAAAGUCAUAAUUGUUUGAUAACAUCAAAACAUGUAUUGGGUUGACAGCCCUCAGAAGUAGUUGCAGCUUAAUCAACAUGUGUAAUACAGAAACGAAAAUUAAAAUCAAAUUGAUUUGUGGCCUCCGAGAUGUAUAUUAAGAAAUACAUCCAUUCUAAUAGCUCUUGAUUUAUGUAGUUUCUGGAAUAGAAACUGGUAAAAAUGAUGCUAUGCCUACAGCUAAGAAACUUUAACUUUUAUAUGGUCACUUUAAAUUUAAAUUGGAAAGUUCAAUCUCAUAUUUUUAAUAAAUGGUGUUACAAGUGAAGACAAAGCAAAUUUGGUGAAUACAUAUUUAACUCAAAUUUAUGAUACAGGUGUAAUAGUAAAAUCAAUAACAUUUUGAUUGAGCUGCACAAUAUUUAGGAGCUAAAUCUAUUAGUAAUUCGUUAUUUCAGAUUUAAAACCAUAUUUAAGUGAUUAUUUUACAAAAUAAAUAGUUCAUAUUUUGUUUGAUGCAA
Long non-coding RNA from Rhopalosiphum padi (bird cherry-oat aphid), 895 nucleotides. RefSeq lists it as uncharacterized. Lineage: Eukaryota; Metazoa; Arthropoda; Insecta; Hemiptera; Aphididae. The record is from RefSeq and is a predicted model, not a curated record. The transcript is spliced from 4 exons.